RNAcentral lists this ribosomal RNA (440 nucleotides) under uncultured bacterium. RNAcentral describes it as "partial 16S ribosomal RNA". It matches the Rfam family "Bacterial small subunit ribosomal RNA", at positions 338 to 795 of the family's 1533-position model. The record is from RNAcentral.
CCUACGGGUGGCAGCAGUGGGGAAUAUUGCACAAUGGGGGGAACCCUGAUGCAGCGACGCCGCGUGAGUGAAGAAGUAUUUCGGUAUGUAAAGCUCUAUCAGCAGGGAAGAAAAUGACGGUACCUGCCUAAGAAGCCCCGGCUAACUACGUGCCAGCAGCCGCGGUAAUACGUAGGGGGCAAGCGUUAUCCGGAUUUACUGGGUGUAAAGGGAGCGCAGACGGCUGUGCAAGUCUGGAGUGAAUGGCGGGGGCCCAACCCCCGGACUGCUCUGGAAACUGUAAAGCUGGAGUGCAGGAGAGGUAAGCGGAAUUCCUAGUGUAGCGGUGAAAUGCGUAGAUAUUAGGAGGAACACCAGUGGCGAAGGCGGCUUACUGGACUGCAACUGACGUUGAGGCUCGAAAGCGUGGGGAGCAAACAGGAUUAGAUACCCGUGUAGUC